Molecule: long non-coding RNA, 388 nt
Organism: Homo sapiens (human)
Lineage: Eukaryota; Metazoa; Chordata; Mammalia; Primates; Hominidae
Source: Ensembl
GGGGCCUCUGCGUCCGGUCCCAUCUCCGCCUGCAAAAGGAGCAGCUGGCUCCAGGCUCCAACGUGCCUUCCAGCUGCCUGACUGCCUCUUCGCCUCUCCCGUCAUUUCUUGGCUCGAAAUGGACCCCAACUGCUCCUGCGCCACUGGCUGCUGCUCCUGCUGCCCCAUGGGCUGUGCCAAGUGUGCCCAGGGCUGCGUCUGCAAAGGGGCGUCGGAGAAGUGCAGCUGCUGUGCCUGAUGUGGGGACAGCCCUGCUCCCAGAUGUAAACAGAGCAACCUGCACAAACCUGGAUUUUUUUUUCAUACAACCCUGAGCAUUUGCUACAUUCCUUUUUCUAUUAAAUAUGUAAACGACAAUAAAACAGUUUUGACUUGAUUCGGACCCUCC